GGCUUUCUGGAGGAAAAGGAAGUGAAGAAGGCGGAGAAUGGGAAGAAGCAAGAGGAAAAGGAAAGGCAGAGCAAGGAGGCUGAAUCCCAGAAUCACCUCUGUUCUUUGGUUGCUGCUGCUGGAGUGCAGUCCCCCAGCACCAUAAGGCUAGCCAGAUGGGCUCUUUGGCUGCAAGCCCAGAGAUCCCAUAAGAAACCAGAGGCUUUGAGGAAGCCUAAGGGUUCUGGAAAGCUGUCUGCAGGAGGUGAUUCUGGUUCUGAGCCUUGAAGAAAGCCUGCUGUGGAAGAGUAUGCCAGACAGAGACAUAGGAGAGAAUGUUCCCAAGAUGUCUUCACAUUCACCCAAUCCUUCUAACUUCAAUGCACCUUUUGAAAAUUUUCUUUAAAACAACAACAGACUUCAUCAGGCCUCUUG
RNAcentral lists this long non-coding RNA (414 nucleotides) under Heterocephalus glaber (naked mole-rat). RNAcentral describes it as "lncRNA (ENSHGLG00100044615.1)". The record is from RNAcentral. Lineage: Eukaryota; Metazoa; Chordata; Mammalia; Rodentia; Bathyergidae.